RNAcentral lists this ribosomal RNA (495 nucleotides) under uncultured bacterium. RNAcentral's name for it is "partial 16S ribosomal RNA". It matches the Rfam family "Bacterial small subunit ribosomal RNA", at positions 28 to 507 of the family's 1533-position model. The record is from RNAcentral.
GAUGAACGCUGGCGGCGUGCCUAAUACAUGCAAGUAGAACGCUGAAGGAGGAGCUUGCCCUCCUGGAUGAGUUGCGAACGGGUGAGUAACGCGUAGGGAACCUGCCCGGUAGCGGGGGAUAACUAUUGGAAACGAUAGCUAAUAUAGCAUGAAAACAGUUAUUGCAUGAUAACUGUUAAAAAGGGGCAACUGCUCCACUACCAGAUGGACCUGCGUCGUUGUAGUUAGUUGGUGAGGUAACGGCUCACCAAGGCGACGAUACAUAGCCGACCUGAGAGGGGGAUCGGCCACACUGGGACUGAGACACGGCUCAAGCUCCUACGGGGGGCAGCAGUAGGGAAUCUUCGGCAAAGGACGGAAGUCUGGCCGGGGAACGCCGCGUGGGGGAAGAAGGUUCUCGGGUCGUAAAGCUCCGUUGUAAGAGAAGAACGAGUGUGAGAGUGGAAAGUUCACACUGUGACGGUAUCUUACCAGAAAGAGACGGCUAACUACGUG